Molecule: long non-coding RNA, 593 nt
Filed under: Setaria viridis
Lineage: Eukaryota; Viridiplantae; Streptophyta; Magnoliopsida; Poales; Poaceae
Description: long non-coding RNA (SVIR_LNC007827)
Source: RNAcentral
AGCAUAAGGUAGCUUACUUCAAGAUUAGCAUCACAUGCUUUCUUGUAAACAUUCUUAACGGCAGCAGAUGCUUUAUCAGUAGGUUCUUCUGGUAAUGGGGUGUCCAGAACAUUUUUCUUUUCCCUGAGAACAAUUCUUAGGUUACAAAUCCAAUCCGUAUAGUUUAUCCCAUUCAGCUUGUCCUUCUCAAGGACUGAACACAAAGCAAACGGUGUGGUGUUGCUAGGUGCCAUUUAUCUACAACAAAUAAUAAUGCAAAAUACUACGAUGAAAGUAUCCAUGAGAGAGUAAAUCACAUUAAACUUUUAUUAGAAUCUACUCCCACUAAAAUCAAUAUCCCUCUAUUGGUACUUAGUAAGUCAGGAUCCACAACUAACAAGUCUACUAGUGAGCUUUAGCAUCACCGCUAGCAGUCAAGGUAGAUCGGUAAGCAACUCCUUGCUAAUCAUAUCACAUAUGACUCCUUUUGUUGGGUGACAUCUCCAUGUCUUGAUGCCCAACCUUCAUGCCCCAUAGUCCUUAACCGUUAAGAUGACCUUGUUUAAGCAAACCAACCCUUAUGCGUGUAAGUAUCUGAUACAAACUCGUCUAGU